GAUGAACGCUAGCGGGAGGCUUAAUACAUGCAAGUCGAGGGGGUAACAUGAGAGCUUGCUCUUGAUGACGACCGGCGCACGGGUGAGUAACGCGUACACAACCUACCUCUAAGUGGGGAAUAGCCUUUGGAAACGAAGAGUAAUACCCCAUAGCAUUAUUUCUUUUUAUGAUGAAAUAAUUAAAGCUCCGGCGCUUAGAGAUGGGUGUGCGUCCCAUUAGCUUGUUGGUAAGGUAACGGCUUACCAAGGCGACGAUGGGUAGGGGGCGUGAGAACGUGACCCCCCACACGGGUACUGAGACACGGACCCGACUCCUACGGGAGGCAGCAGUAAGGAAUAUUGGACAAUGGGCGAAAGCCUGAUCCAGCCAUCCCGCGUGCAGGAUGACGGCCCUAUGGGUUGUAAACUGCUUUUAGAUAGGAAGAAACCCCCAUUCGUGAGUGGGGCUGACGGUACUAUCAGAAUAAGCACCGGCUAACUCCGUG
RNAcentral lists this ribosomal RNA (485 nucleotides) under uncultured bacterium. RNAcentral describes it as "bacterial SSU rRNA". It matches the Rfam family "Bacterial small subunit ribosomal RNA", at positions 28 to 507 of the family's 1533-position model. The record is from RNAcentral.